This is an RNA transcript of Homo sapiens (human), 35426 nucleotides long. It is a transcript of the gene named taspase 1, with no coding region annotated. Lineage: Eukaryota; Metazoa; Chordata; Mammalia; Primates; Hominidae. The transcript has 15 exons. The record is from RefSeq and is marked reviewed.
GACUACUUCCGGUGCAGUGAAGGCUCGGGGCUGAAGCGGGGUAAUUCCUCUCCUGCAAUUACUUUUGGAUGGAAGUAUGCCCCUUUCUCAGUAGAAGAUGGUAAUCUUGGAGAAUGACCAUGGAGAAGGGGAUGAGUUCUGGAGAAGGGCUGCCUUCCAGAUCAUCUCAGGUUUCGGCUGGUAAAAUAACAGCCAAAGAGUUGGAAACAAAGCAGUCCUAUAAAGAGAAACGAGGAGGCUUUGUGUUGGUGCAUGCAGGUGCAGGUUAUCAUUCUGAAUCCAAAGCCAAGGAGUAUAAACAUGUAUGCAAACGAGCUUGUCAGAAGGCAAUUGAAAAGCUGCAGGCCGGUGCUCUUGCAACUGACGCAGUCACUGCAGCACUGGUGGAACUUGAGGAUUCUCCUUUUACAAAUGCAGGAAUGGGAUCUAAUCUAAAUCUGUUAGGUGAAAUUGAGUGUGAUGCCAGCAUAAUGGAUGGAAAAUCCUUAAAUUUUGGAGCAGUUGGAGCACUGAGUGGAAUCAAGAACCCAGUCUCGGUUGCCAACAGACUCUUAUGUGAAGGGCAGAAGGGCAAGCUCUCGGCUGGCAGAAUUCCUCCCUGCUUUUUAGUUGGAGAAGGAGCCUACAGAUGGGCAGUAGAUCAUGGAAUACCCUCUUGCCCUCCUAACAUCAUGACCACAAGAUUCAGUUUAGCUGCAUUUAAAAGAAACAAGAGGAAACUAGAGCUGGCAGAAAGGGUGGACACAGAUUUUAUGCAACUAAAGAAAAGAAGACAAUCAAGUGAGAAGGAAAAUGACUCAGGCACUUUGGACACGGUAGGCGCUGUGGUUGUGGACCACGAAGGGAAUGUUGCUGCUGCUGUCUCCAGUGGAGGCUUGGCCUUGAAACAUCCGGGGAGAGUUGGGCAGGCUGCUCUUUAUGGAUGUGGCUGCUGGGCUGAAAAUACUGGAGCUCAUAACCCCUACUCCACAGCUGUGAGUACCUCAGGAUGUGGAGAGCAUCUUGUGCGCACCAUACUGGCUAGAGAAUGUUCACAUGCUUUACAAGCUGAGGAUGCUCACCAAGCCCUGUUGGAGACUAUGCAAAACAAGUUUAUCAGUUCACCUUUCCUUGCCAGUGAAGAUGGCGUGCUUGGCGGAGUGAUUGUCCUCCGUUCAUGCAGAUGUUCUGCCGAGCCUGACUCCUCCCAAAAUAAGCAGACACUUCUAGUGGAAUUUCUGUGGAGCCACACGACGGAGAGCAUGUGUGUCGGAUAUAUGUCAGCCCAGGAUGGGAAAGCCAAGUUGGCCAGCGCAGAAGCUUAUUGAAUUUAUUUACCUUUUCAGAGUUUCCCUUUAAGCACUACUUUUGCCUCAUCCUACAAAUUUUGGUGGCUGUGGACCUGGCAAAAACUACAUUUCCCAGCAUCCACUUCAUCUGAGUGCGACCAUAUGACACAAUUCUGCCCCAUGAGGAGUAAGUGGAAGGUUCUGGACAGAACUGCUGCAAAGGAGUUUUCAGAUUCGGUUUUGCCAUUUGCCUUUCUCUCUUCCACUUUGUCCUGCCUGAAAUGAGGAAACAAGGCUUGACGUGAAAUGAGGCGGCUGGCAGGCCUGAGGAUGGAGGCUGUAGUCUAAGCGUGGCUGACUGGACAGAUGGUGGGCUUAGGUCCCUGAUAGUAUUAUGGAGCUAUCACGCUGGUCCUGGAAUGGUGACCUCCAUAUGUCUUUUACUGUUAUCAUUAAUCUUAAUGUUAACAUUGACAAUGCUGCAGUACCAGUAGCAAUGUGCCCUCUUGGGAUUUUAAUUUCUGAGUUGUGAUGACCCAGAAAAUUAUAAAGGUUUUGCCAUUGAAAGUAAUGGCAAAAACCGCCAUUACUUUUGCACCAACCAAAUACUAUCACAAUUGCAAGAGGUUUUUCCUCACCAAAAGGAACCAGCAUUCCUUGGACAAAUGGAUUGAGUGCAGAGCUUGGGCGGGGAAGGCACAGAUGAAUUUGGGAUACUUUCCUGCAACAAGAAGCAAGGAAGCUUUCGAUGAUUAACAGGGUACUCUUGAAAGAACACAGGAGUCAGCUUGACAGGCCCCCAUUGCUCACAGAUCAGAGAAUUUGGACAAAAAGAUUGUACUUGACUGAUGUACACUGAAUCUAUCAAAAUCCAUAAGGAUACUCAUGAAGGAGAGAAAUCCAGAAAACCUACUGUUACCAUUUGAGGUAGGUAUUAUAAAACUCCUUCCUUUGCAAAUUGGUAUUAAAAAGAAAGAAAGGUUUUCAGAGGAAGCAAUGUUUGAACUGAAAUAAAAAAGGCUUGUAAACGUACAGCAGAUGCAUCAGGUUAAGAGAACAGGGAGCUGGGGAGGGGUUCAGGAGCUUUGCAAUCUUGGUGAAGGAGUCUCUCAGGUCUGACAGAGCUGUGGUUUAUAGAUCCAAAGGGUUUCAGAGCUGAAAUGUGGUGAGAGUAACGAUCAGAGACACCUGCUGUUUUCAUAUGAAAUAACAGAGUUAAAUAUUAUACACAUCGGGCCCAACGCACAGUCUUAGCCCACCAGCCUUUGGUCUGACAGCCUUCUAUCACACUGCGCUGUGACUUGUCCACUAGGCUACCACUUCUCUGGUAGCAUCCUCUGGGGCACUUGGAGGUUUGCUGAAGCUACAUGGUGCUGGGAUCUCAUCCCUCCUUCCUCAUUCUCAUCAGCUGGCCCUGGAUGCCCUUGGGAAAGCUCUGCUGAGAUGAAUCAAGAAGAGAAAACCUCUCAUCUUUAGGCUGGGUGCAGUUUUUCUCAGAUGACAAAUCCACACGUUUUAAUCACUUGUGUCCUUUAUACUGAGUACAUCCUGGUCCAACACCAAGAAUGUCCAAUCACUGCCUCCAGCCACUGCAUAGCUGGCGUUGCUCAUCGUGGCUGUGUUUGUGACCAAGGUGGAUGGCCAUAGCCACAUCUAGGGUCAGAGUGGUCAGAAUGGCCAGAGUCCCCCAGCUGGUCAUUUGACACAGGCAGAUGAAUACAAAAGAGAGGGAGUGAGGUUUUUUGGACAACCAAGCCACAGGGCAAAUUAGGAUGAGCACUACAAUAGGAGGAAGAUAAAGCUAUGGAAAUGAGUGAUGCAUCCUCUUUUGGAAAAAAUGUGCUAAGCAUCAUUGUCCCAGUCUGCAAAUAGCCACCUGCCCUAUUCUGCAAACACCAACCAAGGACUGGAAUCUGAAGAACAGGGUUGAUUUCACCACUUUCAGAACCUCCAGAAGAGGCACAAAUCAGUAACAAAUUGUGGCUGUCUAGGAAAGUUUAGUACUUUUUCUCUUUAAGGCAAAAACUGGUAACUAUUCCCCAGAUUAACACAAUCAGGCAGACUUCUUGAAGGCAGACUGGCUGGCAAAUUUCUGAAAGGCAAAGAACAGGCCCUGUCUUCAGUCUCCAAACUCCCUCCUCCUUCCCCCAGUUUCACAAGCUCAGGGGGCAACAAAUAAGUACUAGUUGAUGAUAAUGAUGGCUAAAGUUAUCAUUGGGUAACGAGGGCCUAGUUAGAUUUUAUUUUAAUUAGGCUCAGGCUACAGGCCUCAUUACCCCUAAUGUGGCUUUUAUGUGGGAUUCUAAAGAAAAACAAAAAAACCCUAGGAAUCUUCUACUGAAGAUAUUAAAGAAGAUAUUAUUAGCAAUGCAUUUGGUCUCAUAGACUUUGAACAACAAACAACAGAGAUUAUAAUUAAUGUCACUACAGCCUCUCUCCUUAAAACAAACUAACAAUAUAGUUAAUUAGCAAUAUAUCCUCAUUUGGGGCUGGACAUCUGCAUAUUAUUAUCGACAAUGCUUGUUUCCUUUUUCCAGAUGAAAGGAAGCCAUACUGCACCCAGGCACAUGGCUGUGCGCCUUCCACAUUCAAACACUCCAUUUUCUUCUACCCACAAUAAACACACUCGGGGCUUUAUCUGUGCCGAGCAUCGAUUUUGUCUGGAACAGUUCCACACAUCUAAAAAUAAGUUCAAGAAUGCCACUAGUGGUAUUUCAAAGGGAAGAGCAAAAGUUUUGCCAUUUGAAGAGAUAAAAGAAGAAAAUGGCACACUGAUUAUCUUUAACAUGAUUGAGGAGCAAGCACUCCUAAGAUGAGAAAACCAGGAGAAUGAAUAAAGUGAGUUUUAGACCAUAAAAUCGGCUUUCUAGAAGGGGCACACUUGUUCUUAGUGCUCAGGAAGAUGGAUGGAGACCACGAUCCUAGGAGUGGAAGCAGGGGGUGGUGGGGGGCUUGUUGGGACUUAUUCUGAGAAGUGUUGGAAAGAGGCAGCCAGGAUGCACUGGGGAAAAACUGCACUGUGAAGACACAGAUGACAAGGCUGACCAGCUGCUGCUCUCAUGAAGCCUGUGUAUGAUGGCAAUCAUUCCCCUUCAGGCAGCAGGAACAGAGCAAAUGUCAAUGGCCGUAUUUUAUAGCAAGCAUGACAGUGCAAUGCCCCUUUAGGAACUAUUGCUGGCAGAGGGGAAACGGCCAUACGUAUGCUUCAGUCUUUGCUGGGCACUCUGACGACAGCCCUGAGAGCCAGUGACACAGGUACAUCAUGGGCUCAAGAAUUCAGGAGGGUCUCAGUCCUGGUUUGGGAAUGGAGCCUGCUGUCACGGUCUGACUAAUAGCUGAGGAAUCCCUAGUUAUGGCGGCAGAAUGUAUCAUAACGAUGUUUACUUUAGGGCUUGGCAGUGACCUCGUUUAUUAUCUCAGGCUUUAGAAGAAAUGAAGAAUGGGCAACUCUUUGCAUUUGGGUAGGGAGCUGGCUUUGAGGUGGAGGGGCCACCCAUCCCUGUGUAUCUCUCCUCAUUGAAGGUUCUUGGGGCCGGCUGACAAAAUGGAGAUCAACACUUCACUGGUGUGUCUUGAAUACUUCUGUAAACUGCUUUGAUCUUGAAAAUGUGCAGAUUAUUGGUGAAUUUUUUCAAGUUGUGCUUUCUCCAUUGCUGGCAAAGAAAACAGAGUGGUAGCUUUUCCAGGACCGAUUUCUUUUAUGUCCUGUUAGGCUAAAGAAUGAACUGAAAUGAAGGAUAAAUUAUUCUUUCAAGUGUAAGAAAACAUGUAAGAAGCAGAGUACACGAGUGGAAAGUGAGUUAGGCCAAAAAAAAAAAGAAAAAGAAAAACAAACCCUUCACACAUCACCUAAAACAUCCCUGCAAAUGUAGAGAGAUGGAGAAAUCAUACUUUCCAGAACCACUUUGAUAAAGCCCUUGUGGUGUGAGGCCAGCCAUCCUCAGCAUCCAGUUAAGGGCAAGGCUUUCUAUCAGCCUUCCAGGCUGCAGCUAACCAGCUCAGGGCUAUAAAGGCCAGGCCACCAGUGGCCACCAGGGGGCUUCCAUCCCUCCUCUUCAGCCCUGUUAGAGUUCAGCCACCCCUUUAAGUCAAACUUUGAGCAAAUAUUUAAUGAGUGUGGAUUAUUGGUGAUUUUCCAAGUUGUGCUUUCUCCAUUACCGGCAAAGAAAACAGAGUGGUAACUGUCUAGGACUCGGUUUCCAGGACCCAAUUUGAAGAGGCACCAGAUCAUUAGUGCACCUAAAAGGCCCAAGUAUCUAAGUCCUCCUACGACCAGAGGGAACGGGUGUCGAACAGGACACCAGAAGGCGAACAUCUCCUGCAGUGAUUCUGUGUCUCCCUGCAUAGAAUGAGGGGAUAUAAGGCCCAGGCCAAGGCUGGUGUUCUGUUGGUGAGAGGGAGAACCUGGAAAUUAAGCCAAAGGACAUGGAUGGCAGAGUUCAGAAGCUGAGGUCUGGGGUAGGGGUGGCCUAGGGACCCUUGCCAAGUUAUUAUCCUAAUUAAGGAGAUGGAUUCUUCUCAACACUAAAGUUAAGAACCCUCAUUGAAACCUAUUGCUAAUCUCUCUGCUCCAAGUACUUCUAAAAUGGGUUUCAAAGGUCAUUGGACGUUAACCUUGGAAUCCUGAAAAGGGUUCAGGGUACUGUGGAAAGGACUGGGGCCAGGAGUUUCAAGGUCUGGGUCUGGGUCCCAGCAUUGCCUCUUCCUGUUUUGUGAGCUUUGGUAAGUUAUUGCACCUCUGCACUUAUGGUAGACUGGUUGGCAAAAAUGUCCACAAAUUCUUCUUUUCUCUAAAGAUCCACGCCUCAGGUAGUUGCUUCCACACUCUUUGAGCUUCUUUUUUCUUUUUUUUUUUUUUGAGACAGAGUUUCACUCUUCCCUCUUGUUGCCCAGGCUGAAGGGCAAUGGCGCGAUCUCGGCUCACUGCAACCUCUGCCUUCUGGGUUCAGGCGAUUCUCCUGCCUCAGCCUCCAGAGUAGCUGGGAUUACAGGUGCCCACCACCACCACACCUGGCUAAUUUUUUAUAUUUUUAGUAGAGACGGGGUUUUACUAUGUUGGCCAGGCUGGUCUUGAAUUCCUGACCUCAGGUGAUCCACCCAACUCAGCCUCUCAAAGUGCUGGGAUUACGGGCAUGAGCCACUGUGCCUGGCCUUCUUUGAGCUUCUUACUGCGGCCAAAGGGACAACAGUUAACAGAGACUUGAAAAGCACUUGUGCCUUAGGAUUGCCUAUUUUUUUUUGCUCUUUGGAAUGCUGAGAACACUCGGUGAAGAAGGCCAAGCUAGCCUGUUGAAUGGUGAGAGACGUGUGCAGCAGAGAUAAUUUAUACCAGAUUCACCAGCCUGCCAAUGGCCAGUCACUCAGAUGGAGACUGUCCUAGACCAUCCAGCCCUGGCUGAGCCUCCCCAGGCUAUGAGAGCCACCCUGCUGACCCAGAGAGUCAUGAGAAAUAAUAAAUCCUUGCGGGUUUAAGCUAGUGAACCCAGUGUGGUUUGUUACACAACAAAAGCUGACUGAUAUAGGACCUUGGUUAUUUAUUCUGUGAAAUGACCAUGGUGAGGUAGAAUGAGAGUUGCAGAAAGCCUCUCACUCUAUUCAGCUCUGACUUCCUCGGAAUGGAAUCCUAAAGAGACACUUGUUCUGGAGAAAUUAUUUCACACUAACUUCAAAAAAAAAAAAAACUCCACUUUAUUCCAAAUGCUGAAAACAUCAAAUUGAGGGUGGGGAGAUUAAAUAAAAAUCCAGUGGUUCACAAAUGCAUGAAAUGUAGAUUCUAUCUGCAAUGACUAGAACAUCUUCUCCUUUCUCUCUAUCCUUCUACCUGUUAGCUCAAAGCUGGGUAAAACCUGUUGGAAAAUUCCAAAGCCCUGCCAACGACUUUCUUCACUGACAGGUGCUUUUUUGGUAAUAGCUUCAUUGCCAGUUUUUCAAAGACUCGAAGCUGAGACUUAACAGUUCUCCUUUGUGCUUUCAUGAUGCACCUGUACAGCUCUGUGUGCUACUAGAAACUAGUAAUGCCCAUUUAUUAACAGGACCCCCCGACACUGUAAAACAAUUAUAGAGCUGUCAUAGGCCACAUAUGGCCAGAGGUGAAGAGAAAGCUCCUGCCACCGGCACCUGUUCCCUUUGCCACCUGCCUGUACAGAUUGUUCCUGUUUGGACUGCUGUUCUGUUAUUCUCUAGGGAAAUGGUGUGAUUCCUGCUUGGAAAACUGGCAGCUGAUGCAAUUGUGGGCUCUUGACUUAGCUUAGCUAACCUUUCUCUAUAGGAAGCUGGGCUGUUAGCUCUAUUCAUGGAUUCAUUCAACAAACACUCCAUCGAUAUUUAUUAUGUAUCAGGUACUGUGCUAGGGUGAGACAGUGCCAAUAGCACAUGGCUUGUUAAGACAACUUUUCCAAAACUUGGAAAUGAAGCAAAAGGAUGACUGCAAGUUUAUCACUUAGUAUUGGGGCACAGGCCUGCCCCAAAGUAUUUAAUUCUGUAGGAGCAUGUAUCUUCACUUGGCUUAUUAUUUCCUAUUGAUUAGGGCCCAGACUAAAAGUUACAUGUUAACUUAUAGAUUUUCAUUCUGUAGAUAUAGAAAUGUUUUUGUCUAGUAGAAACAAUAACUCAGUGCUAACUGUUUUAUGGCUCUACAGGACAUUAAUCAGUCUUAUUUAUGUUUACACACUUACUUCAUCAUCAUUUUCCCCACUAACUUUAUAAACAUCUGUUUCUCAAAUGCUCUGAGAUGUCAUUAGCAUCUUCCUUUUCUUUCAUUCAUUUAGUUAAGUAGUUGACAUGUGCUUUUUCUUUAUUUGUAUGAGAUUCACAUUUUUAAUAUUAUGAAAAUUUUAUUUGGACAGUUUUUGUCUUCAAAUUUAGAUUACAGAGGGGAAGUUAAGAAAUGCUUGUAUCCAUAUAAAAUGCAAAGUAGAAAGUGGGAAAUUCUGAAGGAGUGGAAGUUUUCAAUGUAAGGAAGUAAAAUUAUCUAGACUCCUUUUGUUUUUGUUUUUUUUUUUUUGAGACAGAGUCUCACUCUGUCGCCCAGGCUGGAGUGCAGUGGUACGAUCUCGGCUCACUGCAACCUCCGCCUCCUGGGUUCAAGCGAUUCUCCUGCCUCAGCCUCCCAAGACUGGGACUACAGGCGCAUACCACCAUGCCUGGCUAAUUUUUGUAUUUUUAGUAGAGACGGGGUUUCACCAUGUUGGCCAGGCUGGUCUUGAACUCCUGACCUCAGGUGAUCCACCCGCCUCGGCCUCCCAAAGUGUUGGGAUUACAGGCAUGAGCCAUUGCGCCCGGCCCAGAUUCCUAAUUAUGAUACCACAGCUCGCCAUCUGUAAGGUUUUAACAUCACCAUGUUAUGCUCUCUCACCUUCUUUAAGAGGCCCCUAUCCGGAUGUUGGUCUAAUGCACUGACAAGCCGGAACCAGUAUGGAGAACCACGGCUUGUGAGCAGGACUUCCCUUGGGUUUGUCCUCCUGUGAGGGUCCUUAUGGGGAGAACAGAAGGCCAUGCACCAGAAGGCACCCAAACUCCUUUCGAACACUUCAUUUUUCCCCGAUACAAUUCCCUAUUCUGAUCCUAGAGAAACAGCUCCUCCCAGUGUUGUUCUCACCAACGAGAAUUCUACCAUGAGAACCUCAGUUAACUGAGGUUCGAGAAAAGAGAAUCACAAGUUCUCAGAGGCUUUCUUUUGGGAUGUGGUCAUGAAGGGGGAGAUGUUCAACAGAGAACAUGUUUACUAUUCUCCUCAAUAUAAACCUCAUAAUAUUAGGAUGUAUCAGUUUGAGUCUGAGCAGGGAAUGAAUGGCACCCUCCAAGUGGGUAACUAAGGAGAGCUUAAUAAAGGAACAAUUUAACAUAUCUGGACAAAGUGCCCAGAAACCACCAAGGAUGCUCUAGUAUCCAGGGCCAGUAAAGCCAGGGAGAGCUCACAUCUCCAGGCCUGAAGAUGCAAGGACAGGGAGAGGCUACUGUUAACCAAAGGGAAAGAGAGAGCUGUGGGGUUGGAAGUAAGGUGGGCGUUCAUUUCCUGCCAUGCCUAACAUUGGCCAAACCCAAUCAGAAGCUAGACAGCAAGGGAGCCUGUUGAUGUAAUACAUGCAGAUCAUGUGCCCAAGAAAUAAAUAGGAUGGAGAAAGGUGGAACAUGGAUUGAGAGAGGUAAACGGAAUGUUUGGGGGACACAGGUAUGCUUGGGAGAAAUAGCAGCUAUAAUACCACCCGUUCCAGGCACUAUACAUUAAAUCUGGUCUCAUGACAUCCAUGUGAGGUAGACAUGAGUGCCCCUCUUCCACAGAUAAGGAAAUUAAGGCUGAGAGGCCCCUAGAUAGUAAGUAGGCUAUGAAAUCCUUGCUCCUUUCACUGUACGGUGCUGUCCUAAUUUCUACCCUGGAGCUGGUUAGAACAAGAGAGUCUGCAGCCACUUUGAAUUCCCUGGCCUCCCCUAAAUGCUGCUCGGCUCCAGAAUAACAGUUCUCAGAGGACUGGCUCAAGAACACUGGCCCACAGUACACUGUGGAUUUAAUUCUCAACUCUGCUCCCUGACUUGGUUUGGUAGGGGAAGUCCUGGCCUCAUUUUUUUUUUUUUUAAGGAAAAUACACAUCUAGAUAACAGUCCACCCCAACACUGCUUUACUUGUGCAGUGUAAUGACUUUUUAGGGUUAAUCAGGUCUCGUCAACAAAACCCAUAGAUAUAGUGAUGAUAAAAACAAUGGAUUAUCACUGAUUCGAGAGGGGAGAAGUUAGGAAUGAAAUGGCACAUAGUACACUAUGUAAACAUGAGAGCUAUUCAGUGGGUCAGAUGAGGCAGAGAACUGAGGAAGACGCAGAGAACCAGGCCCUGCAACCUUCACCUCCCAGGUUCAAGUGAUUCUCCCACCUCAGCCUCCCUAGUAGCUGAGAUUACAGGCAUCCACCACCACGCUUGGCUAAUUUUUUUGUAUUUUUAGUAGAGACAGGUUUUCACCAUGUUGGCCAGGCUGGUCUCAAACUCCUGACCUCAGAUGAUCCUCCCACUUUGGUCUCCCAAAAUGCUGGGAUUACAGGCAUGAGCCAUCGAGCCUGGCCGAUACUCUCUUAAAGAAGCCAAGCUUCUCUGUUACUGUUAUUUUAUUUUCCAGCCAAUAAGACAUACAGGAAAAUAUAGUGUUUGAAAAAAGAGGAGCUUCAUGUUGAGCAUGUUAUUUCCCUGUGGCUCGAGCUUUCUCACCAGUAAAAUGGGUAGCAUCUGUGUGGUAAAAACACUUCUUUUCUCCUCUUUAUUAUUCUCUUCUCUCAUUAGACUUUUCUAGCACUCACUUUCACAUUGUUACAUUUUCUCUUCACUGUUUUUUCCCCUCAGGCCCAGCUCCUAUCUUCCCUAGUGACAGCCACACCUCCACCUCCUCCACCUUUUUCAAAUGUCCUCUCCAUGCCAGCCUUGCUCAAACACUUUUACGUAUCACUUCUACCGAUUGGCUUUCAAAGCUUCCCACUGGGUGGAUAUAAUUAUCAUCACCCCCAUUGUACAGAUGAGAAAACUGAGGUUUGGAAUCCUGCCAAAGUCACCUGGCUCAUACUUACUAGGGGUGUAAACAGCUGUCGGGGAGAGUGAAUACCUCUUCCAACAAUCUCAGUGUAAAGAGAGUGCUCAGAAUACAGAGAAAGGACCAACACCACCAUUGCCAGCCUCUCCAAAAAGGUCCACCUUGAGGAUGGAAGACGUGGUCAGUGUUUCAGUCAUUUGAUUUUAAAGCCAUUUUAUCUCCAUGAUCCCAUGAUCCCCUAUUAAAAUACAACUAGUCCUGAGAAUAGUCAUGCUGGACCUGCCUGGUGGGGGCAGGGCACAAGAUGGGUUUUGGGAUUCAACUCUCCAUUUUUACAAAGCAUAAUCUAGAGGAUCUUUUUUUUUUUUUUUUUUUUUUUGAGACGGGGUCUCACUCUGUUGCCCAGGCUGGAGUAUGAUAGUGCAAUCUAGGCUCAGUGUAACCUCCACCUCCUGGAUUCAAGUGAUUCUCCUGUCUCAGCCUCCUGAAUAGCUGGGAUUACAGGCACCCGCCACCACGCCUGGCUAAUUUUUGUGUUUUUAGUAAAAAUGGGGUUUCACCAUGUUGGCCAGGCUGGUCUCAAACUCCUGACCUCAGGUGAUCUGCCCACCUCAGCCUCCCAAAGUGCUGGGAUAACAGGCAUGAGCCACCACGCCUGUCCUCUAGAGGAUCUUUGAAGAGGAAGGUGGCACAAGCCAGGGCCCAGGACACAGGGUUUCGAACUCCCAGCCUGAUGCUCUCCUACUGGCUGCUUGGGUAUCACUGCCUGGUGGAUCUUCACGGUUUUCCAUGACUAAAUUACAAAUGGUCUUUCCCUCUUUAUAACUGCAGUCACACCAAAAAAAAAAACCCCAGGAACUUUACUAAAUAUCCUCUGAAUGAAUGAAUGGCUGGUUGGUGGGCUGAAUGAACAAACAGGAUUUCAAAGCCUGAUAGGCAGGGGCACAGCGGACCCCUUGUAGUUUCACUUAGGUCUACCAUGCCAUGUACAUUGUACAAUUUGUGCAUGGUGCAAAGAUGUCUGAUGAGGGGGCAAGUAAUGGCUGAAGUUGAGAAUGAAGGAAGUGAUAUUGUCUUCCCAGAGGGAAUGACUUGUUGUAAUUCAUAUAGAGGCUUAUAAGUGCUAAUAGAUGCCCUAGUGUCGCACUUCUUUCUGUCUACUCUACCUGCAAAGUCUUUCCUUCCCUUAUCCACAUAGAAAACUCCUAUGCAUCCUUUAAAACCUUAUUUAGAUACUGCCUUCUCUGUAAACCUUCCCUGAUCUUCAGCAGAGUUAAUCCCUCCUUGCUCCUCAUUACUUCUCUACCAUAUAUAUACUUCUUUUCUUUUUCUAUAAAUUAUUAGACAUUUACUUAUUUUUGUCCAGUUUCUGGCUAAAAACACACACACAAAUAAUGACUGAACUGUAAACUCAACUGUACAAUGGGGUAAAUUACAUUAGCCAUGUUAACAUCUUCAAGUCCCUUAUUACUUGCUAACAACAAAAAGAGCAUUUUAUCCAUUUUUUCAAAUUCCUCUGCCACUGUCCUAGUCCAGGUUGCCAUCAUUCUCUCUUCUAUCCUUCAAGUCUCAGCUUAAAUGUCACCUCCAGAGAGAGAGGACUUCCCUGAUCAUCUUAUAUAACCAGUGUUCUUUCCCACCCUUUAAAAGCUCCCCUCUAUCAUUCUGCUUAUUUAAUUUGUAGUAUUUGUUAGCUGAAAUUAUUCUAUUUAUGGGCUUUCUUCUGUGUUGUGGCCCCUACCAGGAUGUCAGAACCAUGAGGCAGGGACCGUGUCUGUUCUGUCACUUCUGUGCCUCAGCACUUGGCCUAGAGCCCAGUACAGAGUAGGACCUCACUAAAUGCUCUCUGAAUGAAUGGAAGGGACAAUGAAUAGAUGGAAAAGGAAGGAAUGACAAACAGGAUUUCAAUGCCCAAUAAGUGUGGCCACAGUUGACUCCUCCUACAUCUCUCGAACCAUGUGUGGAUUCUGGGAUGUGGAAGGAUGAGAAGAAGCUCUGGCAGAGGUGGAAAAGUUCUCCCUGGCUCUGUUCCUGUGUUGGCCCUUACCUGUGUGGUGACCCCGAGUCCUGGCACAGGAUGGCACAGUCAUCUGCCUCUGAGUGAUAUCAUGGGUAGUGCCCAGCUUCUCCCUUUGCCCAGAGAGAGAAUAUAGAGACUGUGCUGGAGGUACCAACAGCUCUUGCCACCUGCCUGUGACCAAGUCACCACUGAGCACCCAGCAAGUGCACCAAGGAGCAGCCCUGGCAAAGCAACAGAGAGCAGCAGGGGUUUAGGAAGCAGGUGCAGAAAUGAGGCUCAGCAGGAGAUGCGGGGGGCAGGUAUUUUGCUCUCUUGAAUUCAAUUCUGAUUCUGAACAUUUUCUGAAUCUGCUUGCUUUUCUUCAAAGUCAAAUAUGAAUUCAAAUAUUUUCUAUUUGUAUAUACAUCUGUUUAUACUUAUAUAUACACAUAUUUAAAGUAUAUGUAUAUGGUUAUAUAAAUAUAAAUAUAUAUUUGCAGAUAUAAAUACACAUUUGCUUUAUUUAUUUAUUUAUUUAUUUUUGAGAUGGAGUUUUGCUCUGUCGCCCAGGCUGGGGUGCAGUGACGUGAUCUUGGCUCACUGCAACCUCCCCCUCCUGGGCUCAAGUGAUUCUCCUGCCUCAGUCUCCCAAGUAGCUGGGAUUACAGGCAUGUACCACCAUGCCUAAUGUUUGUAUUUUUUUUUUUUUUUUUUUUUAGUAGAGAUGAUGGGGUUUUGCCAUGUUGGCCAGGCUGGUCUUGAACUCCUGACCUCAAGUGAUCCGCUCACCUCGGCCUCCCAAGGUGCUGGGAUUAUAGGCAUGAGCCACUGUGCCUGGCCCAUAAAUACACAUUUAUAAGUGUGUUUUUAUGUGUGUGUAUAAACAUACACACACACAUAUAUAUAUAUAUAUGGAUAUGGAUGUGUAUGUGUUAUUUUAAUUUUAGCUUUUUUUUAAAUUUUAAGAUAUCUGAACUAGCCCAUUGUUUCCUAGCUGAGCUCACAGAAAAACUGAUAAUGAUACUGAGUUAUUAAUUUAAUUCAUGUGUUCUCAAAAUGGGGGCCCCAGGCCAGCAGUGUUGGAAUCGCCUGGAAAUGUGUUUAAAAUGCUGAUUCUCGGGUCCUAUCCCCUGUGGAAUCAGAGCUUCUGGGGUGGGGCCCAGCAGCAGGUGUUUGAGCAAGGCCUCCUGGCGAUUCUCUGCAGGCUCACAUCUGAGAACCUCUGCUCUCACCAAGAGAAGGUGAGGAACAGUGGCUGAUAGUCGGUAAGGAGCUAUCAUUCUGAAUGGUACUUUGGCAAUGGGAGAUGCUUUCCAGGAAACACAGCGCUCUCAAAGAGUGCACUUUUAUCUUGGAAAAGCACAAUCAGAUCAACAGCGAAUGAGCUCCAAGGCCUCCCAUCCAGCAUGGGGAGACCCUCUGAGUGGUCACCCACUCCUCAGGAAUGCCCCUAUGAUAACACCGUGAGGGAAGGCAGAGCUCCUCACCCUCUGGGUCCCUGGGUGAAGGAAGCUGCACACUGAGCAAGUGACAUAAGAGAUCAACACGCAGGGUGAGAAGAUCAAAAACCCUGAAGGUGGAGGAUGAACUGUGAGACUUGGUUCCUUCCUGCUUUUCCCUGUGCCAAUAAAUGCUAGCUUUGCCAGGUCUGCUUGGGUAGCAAGUACCCCAAAUGGAGCAGCAACAGGCCUCCAACUGAUUUCUCCCUCGCUGUGUGUCUGUCUCUAAUUAAGCCACACAGGUCCAUGGGGAAGGACAGGUUGGUUCCAGAUUGGCUAAUGGAUGAGAUAAACUUUUCUAGCUCAGAGGUCUGGCAGAAGAUUAAGUGAGAUCUGAGAGGGGGGGCUGGGGACCCCAGGUGGGCCUAAGAGAGAGGAGAAAUUAUCUGUCAGUAAAUGAGAGAAGUGGGAAGACAGAAGGUGAGAGACAAGAGAGAGUGGAGAAAAACAGUUUCCUUCAGUUGCCCCAAAGGCCAAGUUACUAUCAUCAUGGUUUUAAGAUGGCUCCUCUUUUUUUUUUUGAGACAGAGUCUCGCUCUGUUGCCCAAGCUGGAGUGCAAGUGGUGCAGUCUUGGCCCACUGUAACCUCUGUCUCCCGUGUUCAAGCGAUUCUCCUGCCUCAGCCUCCUGAGUAUCUGGGACUACAGGUGCACGCCACCACACCCAGCUAAUGUAUUUUUGUAUUUUUAGUAGAGACGGGGUUUCACCAUGUUGGUCAGGCUGGUCUUGAACUCCAGACCUCAAAUGAUCCGCCUGCCUUGGCCUCCCAAAGUGCUGGGAUUACAGGUGUGAGCCACUGUGCCCAGCCAAGAUGGCGCCCCUUUAUACUGAAAAGCUCUCUGAUGCUGCAAAAGCCUCCCCACGAUGAACCCAUCAGCAAGGAUAAAUCUCAGACCAUCCAACACCUAACUUUUACUUUUCCUGAUUAAAGCAAUGAUUCAUGUAUGAAGGUGAAGAAGGACAAUCUAAUUGUUCCCAGCAUGUACACAGCAGCCAUCAUCAAAGCCAAAUGGUCCCUACUCCAAGGAAAAAGCAUAACUUCCUGAGCUGCAUUCAUUCACCAUCUCCCUUGUGCACUUGCUCGUUGCUCUUCCAGGGACAUCUUCCAGAAAAGAGGCCUGAGGGAUCCAUUCACACUCUUGUGUCUUAAGGCUCCGUAGACAGGGCCAACUGCUGCCAAGAAUCCAACCCAAGAAAAUGCUCUUUUCAGAUAAAUCUCACAGCCCCCAACUGGAAAGCUCAUGUAGCAACCAGAGCUUUGCUUUCCUCCAGCAAAUUUAUACCUCAGCCUGUGAAAAUGUCAUUUGCUUGCUUGCUUCAGCUUGGACUCUCUCACUUACUCCCCAAGUCUGCAGAUAUACAGAUUGACUUUUAAGGUAGAGCCAAACCCAUUUUUAACCAGAGUCCUGGGUAUUCAGUUACUAAGAGUUCGGCUCCAAGUUCUAAGUGCUCACCCUCCCCAGUGGCGUACAGAAAAGUCACACGGUAAGCAAAAAGUUCUCCAACAUGGCAUGCUAUACAAACUUAUGAAUGGCUUCUUUCAACAUCCUGACUUUUGAAAGCAGGCUUGAGAAGGUCAGAAGAUAGAGUCUGUUGCAACUCUUGCUUGCUCUCUGACCAAAGGAAAUAUAUUUCUAGCUCUAGCUUCUCCAAAGAGAAAGUCUUAUGAUCUCUACCUCCCACAUACCACGCUGGUCCCCUUGCUCCCUGCACCUCACUUUCUCUCAUGCCAGAUCAUGAUCUCAGGCCCUGAGCCUGACUCACAGAGGAUCCAUCCCCAGAAUUCUGCCUUCCCCUGCAAAGUGGACUUUCUCCCAUUCUGGGUUUUGAACAGAGAUUCCACGACGCAUGUUUGAUCUCUUCACGCUCCAUUUUCAUUAGUCCUUCACACUCUCCAUCACUUGGAAAAAUACAAACAGCAUGGUUCAGUUUGAAGGUUAAGAACUGACAGUCUCCAUAAACAUUUUUACAAUAAAAGCUGACUUAUCCACUGCCAGAAUUCAAUGCCUGUGGAAGGGGGGUGAGAUGGAAUGGAAGCAGGGAGCGGGAAGUGAAAACCUUCAACAUCAGAAGGAGAGGACAAGUGCUCACCAUUCAACUACUGGGUGAAAGAAAUCCCCAGGGCUUUGCAGGCCAAAAAUGACUGGAUUGAUCUCUGAAUAAUUAAAGUAUUAUAGGGAGGGAGGCAGAAAUCCAAGGAGCAGAACAGCUAAGGUAUAAAUUCCUGACUUAUGGAAAAUACAAAGCAAUCAAUGGUCAUAAGUUAUAAAAUUUCCAGGUCAUGAAUAUUAAAAGUGGCCUAAGAAGAGAUGAUAAAAUAAUUCUCAGGAUGUUUUCAGUAGGGAGAAGCAGAGGGUAAAAUAGAUGGGGGCAAAGGAGACCUAGAAUGUAAGCCACACUCAUCCCAAACCACCCAACAUACUUAAAAGCUGAAAUCACCUAAUUAGCUGGGAUUCAUUUUGAUGGUGUGUGGGCAGAUGAGCUGCAGGGCAUGUAUCCAUUUACUCAUUCAAUAUGUAAUUACUGAGAGCCAAUUACUCCGUUCCAAAGACUGGAAAUACAAUAGGGAGCAAGAUAGACACGAAUCUUACCCUCAUGGAGCUUACAAUCCACAGCAGGGGUUCCCAAAUGUACAUCCUGAUGCCUCAGUCACAUCCCAAACCAUAUAAAUCAGACAGGGAGUCUGGGGAAGGGUCCAGGCACCAGGACCUUAAAAAGAUCCCCAGGCGAUUCCAAUGUGCAGCAAGUUUUGGAAGCUGCCUGGCAUGCUUAACUGUGUUGCCAUGGUUUGCCCAAUCAAUGAGGACAAAAGCCUUGCCCAUUACUCGCUCUUUUCCUGCUCUGUUUGCUAAAACUCCAUAUGCCCCCAAGGACUUCAUUCUCACGUCUUCAGUACGUGUGAAAUUCUCCGCAAGCUGAAUCGACUCUGAGCCUUAUCAAAGGAGUUUCCUAACUGAAAGCACCCAGCCACAUCCUUGAAAGCUAGUAGGGGCCCUCUUUAUUCCAAACCUAAAAUUGGACACAGUACCCAGUGUAUAAUCUGAUAAUGGUAUAAAAUAUUUGAAACCUAGGCCAUCCCAGAAAUCCUAAGCCUCCUGGCUACCCUAUCAACGUGGUCGUUUCAUGGCAUGAACCCUGGGAGCAGACUACCAGCAGUUUUCCAUCUCCAGAUUUCUUUGUUAAGGUAGAAAAAGAGAACAUGCAUGAUAGCUCUUCCCUUCUGUUCACUGUGAGCUUUUAUAUCCAGUUCCCCUGGAAGCGAUCGAUGGAAAUCCAUUAUAGACUUUCUUGGGCCUCCUCCUGGAUUUUCAUCAAUUUGGAAAGGAAACAUUACAUUAAGCCUUUUUCUGGAAGGCCCCAGCAAUUUUUGCAAAUGAGAAAAAAGGAAAAGAGAGUGCAGAAAGGAGUCUGCUUUAAAGUUGUAAUGAACAUGCCAGGAAACAAAACAAAACAAAACAAAACAAAACAAAACAAAACAAAACAAAACAAAACAAAACGCAACAAAAAAUGAUGGAGGCUGAGAAAAAUGGUUCAGGAGAAGUACUUCCUUUGGCUUCCCAUUGUGUGUUCCGAAAGGCAAAGUGGUCCCCACUCGAACCACCAGAGCCUGCCAGUUGGCCAAUUCAGCAGCAUUCCACUACAGAGAUUAAAACCAACUUUAUGACUGUGGUGUAAAUAAUAAAGAGCCUGGCGGGGUUUCCUUCCAAAAUGAAAGCUCGUUUAUUUUCCGAGGUGUAUAAUUUGGUUGUAAAUGUUUCCUUUGGGCCAAAACAUCCUCGAUUGGGCUUUUGCCUGGAACACAUCACUACUUUGCUGGAGAAGAAUGGACUCCGUGUGGUCCUGCCAUGUCUGUCCACCUGGGGCACGGAAGGGUUCCAGUUGGCCUGCCCGUGUUUCAUGUCUGGCGGCAGUGGUCUGCUGGCAGAACUAGGGGUGGGAGGCAGGGGAUGCUGGCCUGGAAUGGCUGCACCAGCUCCUCAGCCCUGUUCCAUCUGUGAAAUGGGCAGGCUCGCAGCUGAUCUCCCUUCUGCCUGUUUUCAGUACCUUUCAGUGGUGGGGAGAACAGAAGAUCAUUAGGAACCCUGAUUCCCGUGAGAUUUGGCUUUUUCCCCCCAGAUCUUUGUGUCCUUAUUUUAUUUAUCUUUUCAAAAAUCAUCCUAAAAAAUUCCACCCAACAAUGAGUAAUAUUUGGAUAAAGGCAACAGGUUCUUUGCAGGGCUCCUGACCUGACCACAUGUACGUGGGGCCUGAACUUGGCCCACGAUGUUUAGCCAAUCUUACCUAAAGAUAAACAGCUUUUUCUCCUGUACAAGCCGCUUAAGAAGUUACAGCACUUUCUACCAGUAUUUUCAUGUUGAUCAACUCUCUUACAUCAUAUACUUUCACCUUGCUUUCCAUUUGUCCCUUCAUGUUAAUUCAAAGCCAGUGCUCGGUUUUGCAGAUAGAAAUAUAUUUAUUCCACUGGCUUCCCCCGCUCACCCCCAAAUGGCAGGUCAUGCAGAACAGGGAAACAUCUGGGGAUCAAGGGAACGGCCUCAAAAGUCAUCAUAUGCCAUCCCUUCAGGUUGUUUCAAACUGUCCCUCUAACACUGGGUUUUGGAUGAAGGAGACGAAAAGAAGUGAACUGAAAGGGGAAAACAAACUGAGCACAUUUCACCCCAGCUACAUGUGAAGAACACUGGUAGAAAUUAGUAUUAUGAGGCCUGGCUCAAGAGGUAAAGUUCAAUGGUCUUAUUUAUUAUGAAAUCACUUGCUGGGAAAUGGUGCAGAAUGCUUUUGCUACACUCAAGAUUCUCCUGAGAUUGAUCUUGAAGCAGUAUGUCAGGCAAGGUGUUGCAUUAAAAAAAUAGCUUCCUCUGGAGUGGAGACAUCUCACUGGUAAGGCCCAUCAUCUUUUCAAAAGAAUAUCAAAUUUUCCAGUGACAUGGUUCUUCCAAGACAGUUCACACACCAGCAAUGCAGUUCAUACUCAGCUUUUUGUAUACUCACCUGCUGCUGGAUAUCAGAUCCCUUGUUGCUUCAAGUGGAGCAACAAGAAAUGUUCAUAAAGAAGAAUCAAGCAACAAGAAAUGCUAGAGAAUAAGAAUAUCUGACAAUUUGUGCACACAAAGAAAUGUACUACUAUGAAUCGGGCAGCCACAACCUCAGUCUCCAAGUAACUUGCUGGCUUUAGCUCAUUUCUUCCGCACUUUUGGACGCUGCCAUCACCCACAUAGCCCACCUGGAACUUGGAAAAUCAGGUUUGCACAGCACUUGGAAACCACAACACUGACACACGAUGAACAAGUCAUAGAGGAAAUUCUGACUUUCCUCUGUAUCAGACCCACAAAGGCAAGGGAUUUAGACCACUCCUGUUGCAUGAAUGUCACUUUUGCACUGUGGUUAGAGGAUUUUGUUCUAGGACACACACAUCACACUGGGAUAAAAGAGAAACCAAGAUCCUACUUCUUUUUGAAAACCGUAAUUCUUUCCUACUUCACUACCUUAUGUCAAUACAUCUGAGCCUCAGGGGCUGUAAGUCACUUCCUGUCGUGGUCAGGUUUCCUCUCCUUUAUGAAGCUUUCAAUACUUCUCACAGUUCCCAGGUGCAAACACGACUUGGCUGAAAGUCAUUUUGAAUUCAGAAUAUUGCCUACAGAGGCCUAGAUGGUGGGUUUUGAGAAAUAAUCAUCCCUCAUGCUAAAGUCUCUCUUUUAAGUUGCUCCUCCUACCUACCUACACACACACACACACACACACACACACACACACACACACACCCCUCACUUUGCUGCCAGAAAUGCUGUGGUUUCAGCCACAGCAUCCGGCGAAGGUGUCCUGGGUCAUUGGAACCCUCCUGACCUGUACAGGCUGCAAGCCACUGAUAACUUCAUCAGAUGGGCAGACAUGAAUCAGGGGUCAGGAAGGGACACGCUGACACUUAAAGACACAACAUUUCCUGAUGCUGUGUUUUUGGUAAGUUGAAAAGUUUACUUCACAGAAGAACAAGAAAUUGCAGACCCAGGCCCUCUUUCUGUCUCUAAAUCUCUUCUUAUUUUUUUUUUGAGACGGAGAUUCACAUUUUUUUGCCCAGGCUGGAGUGCAAUGGUGCGAUCUCGGCUCACUGAAACCUCUGCCUCCCAGGUUCAAGUGAUUCUCCUGCCUCAGCCUCCCAAGUAGCUGGGAUUACAAGCAUGUGCCACCACACCUGGCUUUGUAUUUUCAGUAGAGACGGGGUUUCACCAUGUUGGCCAGACUGGUCUCUAACUCCUGAUCUCAGGUGAUCCACCCGCCUCAGCCUCCCAAAGUGCUGGGAUUACAGGCCUGAGCCACUGGGCCCGGCACUAUACAUAUAUAUAUUUUUAAAUCUCUGUCUUGCUCCCUUCUUUCCCCUGGAAUGGUUUAAAAAAAAAAGAGAGAAGGAUAUUAAUUACAAUGCAGGAGUUAUCAAGUGACUCUAAAUUGCUUUAUUAAAAACCAAGUUCAGUCAGGUGGUUUUACAUUGAAAAGAAAAAAGAAAAGGUAUGAAUGGAGAAUCCCAAAUCAGUUACUUUCUUCUUAUAAGGCCAGGGCACUGGGGGAUUGGACAAGGUCUUAGAACUUGGGAAUUUAAUCAUGGCUUUGCCAUUGUCCAUUUCAGGCAAGUAGGUAAACUUUCCGGGUCUCAGGUUUCUCAUCUAUAAAAUGAAAAAACACGUAUCUGCUCUGCCUCCUUAAAUGUGGUGAAGGCAUUUUGGAAAGCACGACACUCCCUGACCUUCCAGACUUUCUUGGGCACUUUCCAUAUGCAAGUAGCUACACUGCAUGCCAUGGGUAUAACAGAGGAGUAAGCUACAGUUGCUGGUCACAUGGCCCUUCCUCUGUCCUGGCAGGCAGAGUGGGCAGUAGGGAUGCUUCGUACCCACAGAUAGGCAGGGAGCAGGAAGAAUGCAAUAUUCACUCAGUGGAUGAACCAUGCUGUGAGGGUUCAGAAGUGGGCCCAUUUCUACCUCGACAGUUCACAGAAAAGCUUUUUUUUUUUUUUUGAGAUGGAGUCUCGCUGUGUUGCCCAGGCUAAAGUGCAGUGGCAUGAUCUUGGCUCACUGCAACCUCCGCCUCCUGGGUUCAAGUGAUUCUGCUGCCUCAGCCUCCCGAGUAGCUGGGAUUACAGGUGUGUGCCACCAUGCCCGACUAAUUCUUUUUUGUGUAUUUUCAGUAGAGACGGGGUUUCACCAUGUUGGCCAGCUGGUCUUGAACGCCUGACUUCAAGUGAUCUGCCCACCUCAGUCUCUCAAAGUGCUGGGAUUAUAGGCGUGAGCCACAGCGCCCAGCCCACAGAAAAGCUUUUGUGGCCUGUCCAGAAUUUUUGCAACCGGAAAGAGGGCAAAGAACAUCGGAGUGGGCGGGUACAAGGAAUAGUGAGAGUCUAAUUUGGCUGAAAAUGCAGCCUAUAAAUUGAGGAGCAGGAAAGGUGGGUCAGUUCCAGAUAUGGAGUUCCUCAGUAUCUGUUUUGAGUCAUGGAAAGGGGAAUGAUUGGAAGUUUGUGAGCAGAGGAGAGCAACAGUUUAGAAGAUGAAACUAAGUAUUAUUUUGAAUUGACAUGAAAGGAGAGAAAUGAGAAAUGAAAUAAAAUGAAGGAAUUAAGGAAAUCUGGAAAAGUAAGGACCCAUGUAACUACACUAGAGUGUGCAGGGGAACUAUCACUAUUGGGACACACAGGAAUGGGCAGGUACAUGUGGAGGGGAGUAUGGCAGGCAGCUUCUGAAAUGGCCCUCAAUGACCCCAUCUCCUGGAAUACACAGCCUUGUGCAAUCCCCUCCCUUUGAGUGUGGGAUGGAGCAAACGACUUGCUUCUGACAAAUAGGGUAUGGCAAACAUGAUGGAAUGUCACUGAGAUUAGGUGACAAAGACUGUGGAUUUUGUCUUGCUCAUACUCUUUUUCUGGCUUUAUUCACUUACCUGCUCUGAUAAAUUCUGCUGCCAUCCUGAGAGCUGCACCACGGAGAGGCCCACAUGGCAAGGAACUGAGGGCUACCUUUACUGUAGCCUGUGAGAGACCAUGGGCCAAGGGAUCCAGGUAAGCUGUGUCUGAAUUCCGGACCCAUGGAAGUUCUGAGAUAAUAAACGUGUGUUCUUUUGAGCAGCUACGGGGUAGCAUAAGUAUAGGGUAAUUUGUUAUACAGCAAUAGAUAACCAAUACAAGAAGGAAGGAAGAUAUUUAACCAACAUGGGGUGGCAGGGAAUAAGUGCUUUUUGGUAUUAAAAUCCCAGACUCAUGGUCCAAAGUUGUGCAUGUUCUUUCUUCUAGACUUUUUUGACUUUAGGAACAUUUUAUAAAAAGAAACCUCUCCACCACUCCUUUCUUUCAUUGUUUCCAAGGUUGAUUAAAGAAACAUGACCUGAUGUUCAAUUUCAGAAGACUCAGAAGGGCCUUCCAAUAGAAAACUGGCAGGAAAUUAAUGCCAUAUACACCAGGCAAAGCAGAUGUUUCUGAAUAUGACACUUAGGUGAAACACACCUUUCCCUUUUACACAUUUUACUCACUUUUGACUUGUGCAUAGGUAGUUUGCUUCUAGGGGAAUGAAAAGGGGGACAUGUCUUCUCAAUAGAAAAUGUGGUCAAAACCUGGCCAGGGAUUUUGAAGAAACCACAUUAUCUCCUUAUCUGUGUUUAAAUUAUGGAAGUAUAUAGUAAAGGUAAUACCAUGCCUGUGAACUGGAAUAAGCCUUCAUGCUAAAUAAGUAUCUUUAAUAUGUUUUUAUAUGCAAUGUGUUUGCUUAUCAUUAAAUUCUUUUCACUAGUCAUCUUGCUGUGUGAAAACAAAUCACAAAGCUGCCUUACCAAAUAAUUUGUAGGACUUGAGGACAUGUAAUGUCCGAAUAAGUGACCACUAUAUAUUUUCAUUAGCUUAUGCUGGUUUUUUUUUUUUUUGCAUAGGACAUCUUCUACAGUAGUGGUAAUCCUCCAUAUUUCAGCUGACACCUCUAUGUGAGCUGUGGUCAUCUUAGUGUCGAGAGAGUCCCCUCUGCCCACAUGAAAACCAGUCAGAGACGAGCUGUUUUGAAUCAAGUCUCCUGCUCUUGUAGACUUUUAGUUUGACCUUGGAAUGUUCAAGCAGACCUCUGCAUUUAAUCCAAGAUUGAGGCAAGUUUUCUCUCUGCCUAGGUUUAUCUUGUCUGUCUGUGAACAAAAGAGAGGAUAGCAAAGUACCUUGUUUGGAUUUGUCUAUAAAUGUGACCUUCCUAAACUGGCUAACAGGGCUCUCUUUCUGACCUGCAGAUGAAUCACCAGUGCCUACACUGGAGAUGUGGUAAUAGACAAACACUCCCUUCUGCAAAUACCAUGAGCAUUGAGGUCUAUCCUCAUUCCACUAAGCAAACAUAUUAUGUGGAAAAUUGAGAAACAAUUCCAUCUUCCCUUCAAAUAUCUAUUUCAGGAAAACUGUGCCUGCUAUUCUAACUGCAGAAAUACUCUGAACCUCUAAGUCUUGUCAUUCCAUAUCAAAUGGGUUGUAACAAUUCCUACUGAAACCAUGUUUUGCUGAUUAGUUAAUGGAUAGACAUAGUGCAAACAGAUGCUUAACGGUGAUGGAUAUAGCUUAAAAUAUUGGGCAUGCUUAAUUUCUUCCCUAGGUUUUGGCAUUAGUGAAGGGCUAAUUUUUUUUUAUUCAUAGCUUAUAUUUGAAAAGUGAGGGGAUGCAUGGCAGUCAAUGGCAUUCAGAUGGUCGUUUUACUGCUUUUAUAAUAAGAGAGACCUAGAGGUCAAGCAGGAAUAAGACAAACAGCUAAGAGGACAGCCCUAAGUGUGGAACACUGCAGAAUCUUAAAAGCAUAAGCCAUAUUGAGUAAUGAGGCAGAGAGGGCUAGCUUUCUACCAAAAAUACGUGUCUUUGUGCCAAGCUGGAGGCAACCCUUAUCAGGGAAUACAUUUCCAAGUCAUCCCGCAUCAAAGGAUGAUCUAUGUGAGCAGAAGUGAUGUGUGUCACUUCUGAGCUGGGACUGCUAAGAAGACAUCAGGGCCUCCAUCAUCCUGGGUCCCUGAAUGACUGCAUGGAACUGACCACUAAGAAAGCUGAGGGUGAAAGAUGUUAAAUGUUGUGCCCAUGGUCACAGCCAGUUAGUGACAGAGUAGGGACUCAAAGUUAUGUCUUCUGAAUUCCAAGGCAAGAGUUCUUUUUUGGUAAUAGACAAGGAACUUCUUCCCCAAGCCACGCAGUCACAGUGAUUAAAAGCAUGGACUCUGGUGUCCAGACAGCCAAAGUUCAAAUCUUGCCUCUACCUCUGCUAUCUGUGUGACUUGGACAAGGUACUUAACCUUAUUGUGUAAAAUGAGGAUAACAAUAAUGCCUACCUCAAGGUGUUGUUUUGACGGUUAAAUAAGUCAAUAUUAAUCAAAUGCUUAAAAAAGUGUCUGGCCCACAGUAGGGACUAUUUAAGUAUAUGACAAAAACAAGUAGAUAAAAUCAGGUGAAAUCUGUAUAACUACCAGCUCCCACUACUUCACACAUGAACAGUAAGGAACCCGAUGUCUUAAGCUAUGGCUGCCAACCUCACCUAUCAAGGCUCAAGUAAUUCCUACCCCUCAUCUGAUGCUUUUAUACCAACCUUAAUAAGCAUAGAAACAACAGCCUAGAAGCCAUCAUGCCAAUGAGCAAAGAGUCUCACCUCCAUUCAAGAGAAGUGCAGGACCAUUCCCAUCAUGGCUCCCCCAGCUGCCAUCAAGAGACCAGGCUCUCCAUUCUACACAUCUCUGAACACUUAAUUGGACUCAGCCUGUCCUCCUUCACCUUCCCAAACCUUUUACUGGACCUUCUCGGGCUUUUCCUCCAUGAUAAUCAAUCUCUCAUUUUCCACUUCUCUGAACAUCCCCUCAACCUUCUCCUGGAUCUUCUUGGUUCCAUGGCUAACUCCUGACUUUUUCUUCCCCUUCCUCCUGAAAAAUAAAAACAAAAACUGAACAAACAAAUCCUGCUCCUUUCAAGAUGCUGGAUGUUCCAACUGCUCUGUGGAGUUUCUGGUCAUUCUCCGUUCAUCUAAAAGCCCAGCUUCUGGCUUAGUCUUCUUUACCAUUGACCUCCUGUUGUCCUUUUUGGUGACUUCAACAUCCAUGUAGAUGACCUCCCCAGUUCUUGGACCUCCUCACCUCCCAUACCCUUUCCCUCUACUGCAUCUCAACCACCCUCUUCCCUAGACCUUUUGUCAGUAAACCUUCUACAUAAAGACACUUUCCAUUCUUUUAACUCAUUUUUCCAGUUUUAAAACUCAUUGAGAUCUCCAAGCCACUGCCAUUUUCUCACCUCCCUUCAGCCUUCUCUUGUUUUUACUUUCCUUCUUCAACAAGUGUUCUUUUAUUUUAAUCAUUUCCUUGCAACGGCCCUCAACUCUGCUUGCCCCUUUCUCUUCUCCUUAUAUAUUUGACUGGCAACACCUCCAUUUUGGUUGAACUCAGUGAUCCAACUUCUGUAGGUUAGUAGCCAAGCAGGUGGGUGAUGGGAACAAUAAAAGCAUCCAACUUGACAAACUUGCUUUAUUUUAGAUUCAUGUCCUCAAACCCUCAAAUGAAUACUAAGCACUGUUCCAAAAUCCAACUGCCCUUCCUUCACAACCUUACUUGCUCCAGUAUCCAAGAUGACCAUUUUAUAUCUUCUCUCCUCAAACGUCCUACUUGUGCUCCUGCCCUCACUUCAUAUUUCACUGAUGGAACAGGAGUCAUGAGAUGGUAACUCUUUUAUUACCAUCACUCUAUUUAUACUCCUGUCUGCAUAGCUCAUUUUCUUUCUCUUCCCAAUUGUUACACAGAACAAGCUUUCCUGCUUCUGUGAAAGGCCAAUGCUCACACAUAGCCCCUUGCCUUCUUGAAGAAUUCACUCCUCAUUUCUCCUCUCUCAGUUUUGCAUCAUCAAUCUCUCCCUUUCUAUUGGAUCGUUCUCAUCAGCCUCACAGAUGCCCUGGUAUCUCUGAUCUUACAUGAACCAAAAACUCUUUUUUGACCACAUGUUCAUAUAUCUCCCCUUUUUAUAGUAAAACUUUUGCAAGACUUAUUUGUAUAUUCUGUCUCCAUUUCCUCACCUUCCAUUUGUUCCUUUACCCAAUAGACACUGGAGUCUGUUCCCAUGAUGCCUCUGCAACUGCAGAGCAGUUGGUGACCUCAUUCAGGUCACCAGUCAUGGCUGCGUUGCCCAGUUGAAUGAGCACUUCUCUGGCCUCAUCUUUUUUGUUCUCACAGCAGCAUUCGAUAGAAGUCCUCUCUCCUUAAGGCAUUCUUCUCCCCUGGCUUCUGUGACACACCUCUUGGUUCUCCUUUUACCACUUUCAUCAUGACACCUCACUCUCAGCUCCCUGUCCACUUCACAGCCUCCCUGCUAUUAUCUUCACUUACAUGUCCCAGAGGCAUCUCAUAUUCCACAUGUCCCAUAUAAAUCCACUGACAUGAACUCUACCCUUGUGAAACUGGAAGCUGUCUUUGACUCUUCACUUCUUAACUCUGAAAUGCAAUCCAACAGCAUAUCCUGUUGGCUCUGUCUCAGAACUGUGCCUUGCAUCCAUCCACUCUUCUCUACCCUGGUCCACAUCCCAUCACCUCUUACCUGAAUUAUUGUGAAAUUUUCUAACAUAUCUAUGUUCUUCCCUCUCAUUAUCCACUGAUCAGAUGGAGCCAUCAUUUAGAAGCUCUUCAAUGGCUGCUUCCUCACCAAUCCUAGAACAGCCAUAUUCUUUAUCAUGACCUGCAAAAUCCUUGCUUUUUUCUGCAAGUUCAUGUGCCACUUUCUUCCUUACACACUGUUCUCCAGUCUCUUUUCCAUCCCUUAGUCAUGCCAAAGUCCUUCCUAUCUCAAGGCUUUGGUGUUUGUGAUUCCGUCUGCCUGACUGGCUCUCCUGAGUUCUUUGCAGAGCUGGUCCUUUUAUUCCCCCAGCUCAGGACUCAAGUGUCACUUUUCCAUCAAGUCCUUCCUUGACCACCCUCUUUUAGUAGGAACUCCCAGUUAUUCCCUAUCUUUUGCUCCCUGUUUAUGUCCUGCUAAGCACCUAUCACAAUCUAUAAUAAUUCCUUUAUUCUGAAUCAAUUAUUGUCAGUUUUCUUUCUAGAACAUAAGCUUGUUCUCUAUUGAAUCUCCAGUGCCUAGCACAAUAUCUGCUGAUCACAGCCACGCGAUAUGAAAGUGCUGAAUGAAUGAAUGGAAUUGUAGAAUGCCAUGUGGCUGGGCAGUGCUCAAUGCUUAUAUGUACAUUAUUUCAUUUGCCUUACUGCAGUUUGGUUGUAUAUUAAAUAAAAGAGACAAUUCAUGUCCAUUUAAUUACCUUUCUGCUCCUGUAACAACCUAAGAGCAACCACCAUGUAGCAGGAUCCCAGCACUUUAGAUGUACACUUACUCUAAUUCUCUUUAGCUAAGUGGGGCUAUAAAAACUUUUACAGAUGUUCAGAAAUGGGGGAUUGUGUGGCUUCAUGAAAGAUGACUUGCUUUGGAGUCUGGUACUGGCUGUAGGAUAAAUGAAUGGUAUGGUCUUAGCCAAAUCUUUUAAUUUCUCCAGGUUUUAGAUUCUUUGUCAAUGAAAUGAGACAUUGGGGCUUGGCUUUCUUGCCUACAACAACAUUCUAGAAUUUGGUGAGUGUCUGCAACCUGCCUUCUAAACAGAGUGCCUCACCAUGGAGUGCAGGUGGGUUGGAGCACAGAUGAAGCCCCGGUCCAACCUGGGCAUUCCUGCAGCCAUGUGCAGUGACCCUUGUGUAUGUGAGUACCUGUCAUGUGCCCACGUAUCCUGGUGGCACAAAAGGUACUUCAUGUAGAUUGUCAGGACCAAGACACAGAACGUUCUUGGGGCACACCACAAUAAUUCCCCCACUAGCAUUCACCUUAAGAUGAAAGAAGUAAGUAAAACCCUUCUCAGAUCUCAGGGAGGACCCUGCAGAUGGAUCCCUGAAAACUUAAGGCCAAGGCCAUUCAUGCCCAUUAUUGGGUUCGUCCAGACCUUAGCAUUAAUCCUGGCCUUGGUGAAUAAGAAGUGAAAGAACCAUUGUGGGGCAUGAGAGAACCACACCAGACAGAGUUUCAGGGCAAUGAGUCCCUGGGGAGAACCUGGAACAGAACUUCGAAUACCUAGUCUGCCACAGAUUUUUUCCUGAGAACUUGCCUUUCAUUAUUUCUAUUUAAUACCUGCUGUUCAAUGUUUAGAUUCACUCUCUUUGUGAUCCCAAUGCCUCUUCAAAUGUUUCCAGUUUUUUUCUAGUUGAUGUGGAUUCCCCAGAUUUAUCUCAUUUCAUGAUGUCUUCGGAAUUGCAUGUUGUGCCACCAUCACACUUCACACUCUCAGUAAGGAGCUCUCAGUUGUCUCACCUGGUUCGUGUCUUCCUGAAUGUACCAGUGAGGGGAGCAGAGAGGGAAGGAUGCACUGAGUUGUUAGCCUUUUUCCAGCAAAGUAUGGAGAGCUGAACCUUUUCAGGAGUAAUGGGUUAAACAGAAGUGGAUGACUUGCCCACUCUUUAGAACGUUGUAUCCUCUAUGGGCUGAUCAACUGCUAUCAUGAGUGAACCUGAAAGGAUUAUUCUGGAUUGGUCAGUUUUCAGGAGGCUGGUCAUUUUGAUCGUAGAUGUGACUUUCUCCACCACCUGGGUCAGACUCCAUGUGAAGCCAAAAACAUCCUGUAUAUUAUAAAUAAUUUUACUUUUUUCCUUCUUGGAAAGUUAAUAACAUUCUUCAUUUUCUGAUAGGCAUAAAAACAACUUUGUUGUUUUCUAGUUGAGUUCUAGUAUCUGGAAAUGCUAAUAAGUCUGUGAGAUUUUCACACUGGAAUUAUGUGGAGUGAUGUCCAUGUGGGUAUUGGGGAACUAUGUAUAAUCGAUCCAGGAGUUUAAUUUGGCCCCAACCCUUAAAAAAAUGUUUACCCUACUGAAGGGCAGCUCCAAAUAAGUUAAUGAGUAAUGGGCUAUGAAUUUUGCCAUUUUGCCUGAUUUUAGUGAGGUGGCCCUCUGGUUUGAAGUAGAUUGCCUCUCAUUAAUGACCUUCUCAAGAACUUUCAGAGCCUAGGGAGAGGGCUAGAGCAUAAAAAUAUAAUUCAAAUUAGUCCCCAAAAGUCACCAUGUCCAGUAGAAGUCUCUCAGGCCCAUGGCUGGACUUCUGGGAAUGUUUGGGCAAUGUAACCACAGUGAUGUUUAUUAAAUGGAAUGUCCACCUCACAGUGCUCUCAAAAGUAUUCUUUUUUUUAAAUUUUAAGUUAUUGCUCCUCUUUAUUGUAAACGAUGUCCUAUAAAGAAGAUAUAUGUCUACAAUUGAGCUUUGAAGGAGGACCAUGGAGCCAGUUCCUUUUAAGGGGAAUGAAGUCAAGCAGUAAAUUUGCUGGUCACUCUUUUCAUAUGGACCGCAUCUCAGCCAGCAGUUGGUCUUUGAUGUUGUAACAAUGGCACUGGGACCUGAGGCAGAGGAGCACCCCCAUAAUACUGAAACCAGCCUGCAUUCAUUCUAAUUUGGAGAACAAUCUGUGGGAUAGUACGCACAUCAGGGAGCCCAGAGAGUGAACUCCAGGGCUGUGGGUAAUCUUUCCCAGUGAAAAUCAGCCAUCUCUUCUACACCAUGUACCCUGCCUGCUGCAUUCUUUACUCUUUUAUUAAAAUUGAAGUAUGAUAUUCCUACAGAAAUAUACACAUAUAUAACUCUACAACUCAAUGAGAUUUCACAAACUGAAGACACCUAGGCAACCAAUGCCUAGAUCAAGAGGCAAAACAUUACCAGCACCCUAGCUGCCCUCCUUGGACUCCCUUUUCAUCACUUCCCUGACAAAGGUAACUCUCUUCCAACAGCACAGGUUCCUUUUUCCUGGUUUUGAACUUUACCUAAACAGAAUUAUCCAGCAUGUACUUUACUGUGCCUGGUUUCCUUCACUCAACAUUACAUUUGUGAAAUUGUGCAUGUUGCAUAUAGUUGUCAUUUGUUCAUUCCCACUGUGUACACUUAACUACCUUAUUAUCCAUUCUGUUGAUGGCAUUGGGGUUGUUUCAAGGUUGGGGCCAUUUUAAACAGUGCUGCUAUGAACAUUAUUUUUUAGGUCUUUGAGUGCAUUAGUGAAUAGAUUUCUGUUGGGCACAUACUCAGGUGGAAUUGCUGGGCCAAGGGCAUGUUGAUAUGUUGGCUGUGUCCCCAUUCAAAUCUCAAUUGAAUUGUAUCUCCCAGAAUUCUCAUGUGUUGUGGGAGGGACUUCAUGUGUGCUGCAGGGGCAGGGUCCUCAUGAAGAACCUCUUCUAGGGCAGUGCAGAAGGGAAAUGUGGGACCGGAGCCCCCACACAGAGUCCCUACUUGGGCACUGCCUAGUGGAGCUGUGAGAAGAGGGCCACUGUCCUCCAGAUCCCAGAAUGGUAGAUCUACCGACAGCUUGCACCAUGUGCCUGGAAAAGCUGCAGACACUCAAUGCCAGCCCCUGAAAGCAGCUGGAGGGAGGCUGUACCCUGCAAAGCCCCGGGGGCAGAGCUGCCCAAGACCAUGGGAACCCACCUCUUGCAUCAGUGUCACCUUGAUGUGAGACCUGGAGUCAAAGAAGAUCAUUUUGGAGCUUUAAAAUUUAACUGCCCUGCUGGAUUUCAGACUUGCCUGGGCCCUGUAAUCCCUCUGUUUUGGCCAGUUUCUCCCAUUUGGAAUGACUGUAUUUACCCAAUACCUGUACCCCCAUUGUAUCUAGGAAGUAACUAGCUUGCUUUUGAUUUUACAGGCUCAUAGGCAGAAGGUACUUGCCUUGUCUCAGAUGAGACUUUGGACUGUGGACUUUUGGGUUAAUUCUGAAAUAAAUUAAGCCUUUGGGGGACUGUUGGGAAGGCAUGAUUGGUUUUGAAAUGUUAGGACAUGAAAUUUGGAGGGGCCGGGGUGGAAUGAUAUGACUUGGUUGUGUCCCCAAUCAAAUCUCAACCGAAUUGUUUCUCCCAGAAUUCCCAUGUGUUGUGGGAAGGACCCAGGUGGAGGCAAUUGAAUCAUGGGUGCCAGUCUUUCCCAUGCUAACUCAAUGAAUAUCCCAGCAUUAGUUGGAAAGGUGAGAAGUUUGUUAACAUAAUUGUCUUCUACUGUAUUACUCCUAAGAAUUGUAACUCUGAGCAGGUCCUUGUUAGAAGGAUGGCCGAGACGGGCACAUUGGCUCACGACUGUAAUCCCAGCACUUUGGGAGGCCGAGGUGGGUGGAUCACAAGGUUAAGAGAUCGAGACCAUUCUGGCCAACAUGGUGAAACCCCGUCUCUACUAAAAAUAUAAAAAUUAGCCGUGCGUGGUGGUGGGUGCCUGUAAUCCCAGCUACUCAGGAGGCUGAGGCAGUAGACUUGCUUGAACCCAGGAGGUGGAGGUUGCAGUGAGCCAAGAUUGCAUCACUGCACUCCAGCCUGGGUGACACAAUGAGACUCCAUUUCAAAAAAAAGAAAAAAGGGAAGUACAAUAUACUAUGCACAGAGCUUUGGAACUCCUGUCCCCAGGCAUGUUCUGUUUCUCUUGUUGCAUCUGGGGAAGGAAGGUAGGAAACGGUGCCCUUUCAUCAGGGAAAGUGGUCGCAGGCUUAUAUUGUCCAAGCCCCGUGAGUGAUGAAUAACGUAUUUGCAGGCACAGUUCCUACCAUGUAGCACACAAUUUGUAAGCAGUGAAAGGACAACCAUUCUGAAAAAAGAUGGAAAGUGAUGGGCAUGUGUUUCUUGACUCAGAAACAACCCUUGGUGGGGGCCGAAUCAUGUGCUGCCAGAGCAACCCAUAGGAUGACAUGUGAGAGCUUUCUCCAGCUCUAACUUCUCAGUGGCAGGGCCCUCUGGGACUCACCCUUUCUCUUGGCCUGACUCUGGCCACACAGCCAGGCUGAGCAGCUUCUCAACACAGCCCUGGUGAUGUUAACUAUUCUUAUCCCAUUUUACUGAAUGGGACACAGAGAUGUAGAGAAGUGUAAGGAUUUUGCUUAGGGGCAGAGACUUAACUGAGGAGCAGAACUGGAAUCAAAACAACUCCAAAGCCCAUGACCACUUUUUGGCUAGUCUGUUGGAUCUUGUGACUUGCUUUGGCUGAUGAAAUGGUAACAGAUAUGACUGAUGUGUAAUCCCAUCACCAUGAGAGAAAUGUGUGGCAGGUAACCUGCUGGUCACAAAAGAAUGGGAGACCCAUAGUGUAAACCUAGACCCAAUCCAUAGCUUAAAGCCAUGCCCUGCCUAGAUCUACUGAACCUCAGCUGACCCAUGGACCCAUGAGUGUGAGAGUACAUGCUUAUAAUUGCAGACCGUUGAGAUUUGGAGUAGUUGUCCUACAGCAUUAUUAUUAGGCAAUAGCUGGAUAACACAGGACCUGUAUUAAGUGCUUUCUGGGACCUGCAACUUGCAAGAAAAACAUGCAUGUAGACCAGUGUUUCUCAAACCAUGACCUGCAUAUGAUUAAUCUGGGGACCUUGUCAAAAUACAGAUUCUGUAGGAAAAAAUAUUUGCAAACUAUCAGAUGCAAAAAAUAUUUGCAUCUGAUAAAGGGCUAACAUACAGAAUCCACAAGGAACUCAAACAACUCAGCAAGAAAAAACCAAAUGACCUCGUUAAAAAGUCGACAAAGGACAUGAACAGGCAUUUUUCAAAAGAAGACAUACAAGAGGACAACAAACAUAUGAAAAAAUGCUUUACAUAACUAAUUAUCAGAGAAAUAAAAAUUAAAACCACAAUGAGAUACCAUUUUACACAAGUCAGAAUAGCUAUUGUUAAAAAAUCUAAAAGCAACAUAUGUUGGCGAGGACAUGGCUAAAAGGGCACACUUAUACACUGUUGGUGGGAAUGUAAAUAAGCACAACCUUUAUAGAAAACAGUAUGGAGAUUUCUCAAAGUACCAAAAAGAGAACUACCAUUCAAUCCAGCAAUCCCACUCCUGAGUAUAUACCCAAAGGGAAAGAAAUCAAUACAUCAAAAAGAUACCCGCACUCAUCUGUUUAUAUCACAGCACUAUUCACAACAGCAAAGACAUGGAAUCAACCUAAAUGUCCAUCAGUGGAAGACUGGGUAAAGAAAUAUACCAUGGAAUACUACUUAGACAUAAAAAAGAAUGAAGUCAUGUCUCUCGCAGCAACAUGGCUGGUACCGGAGGCCAUUAUGCUAAGCAAAAUAACUCAGAAACAGAAAGUCGAAUACCACGUUCUCCCUUAUAAGUGGGGGCUAAACAAUGGGCAUACACGGACAUACAAAGAGUAAUCAGACACUGGGGACUCCAAAAGGUGGGAGGUGGAGGGGAUGAGGGCUGAAAAAUUACUCACUGGGUACAAUAUUCACUACUCAGGUGAUGAGUACACUAAAAGCCCAGACUUCACUACUACACAAUAUACGCACCUAAGAAACCUGCACCUGUACCCCCAAAAUAUAUAUAAGUAAACAUUUUUAAAAUGCAGAUUCUGAUUCAGUAGUUCUGGGCAUGGCUUAAAACUCUUAUUUUAUAACAAGCUUUCAGGAGAUGCUAAUACUGGUGGUCUGUAGAUCGCAUUCUGGGCGCAAGGGCUGAGAAGCCAUUCUGAGCUUCUUGUCUAUCUCUGGGCCAUGAAUGCACCUAGUGAACAUUUGGGCAAUGGAUGGGUUACCUUAUGUGUAAGAGAAGGACAGUAUUUUCCCUCAUAAUGAGAAUCCUAUGUGAGUCACUAACAAUCUGUAUUUUCCUAUGUCCCAUGUGCCCAGAAGGUCAGAAUUUCCUCAAUUCAUUUCUUGGGCUAAGAAUUAGGAACAUCUAAUGGGAUCUCCUUUUUUUUUUUUUUUUUUUGAGAUGGAGUUUCGCUCUUGUUGCCCAGGCAGGAAUGCAAUAGCACAGUCUUGGCUCAUUGCAACCUCUAGCUCCCUGGUUCAAGCAAUUUUCCUGCCUCAGCCUCCCGAGUAGCUGGGAUUACAGGAAUGCACCACCACGCCCGGCUAAUUUUGUAUUGUCAGUAGAGAUGGGGUUUCUCCAUGUUGGUCAGGCUGGUCUCGAACUCCCGACCUCAGGUGAUCCACCCGCCUUGGCCUCUCAAAGUGCUAGGAUUACAGGCAUGAGCCACCGCGCCCGGCAGGAUCUCCAUUUUUAUUUUUGCUCUUCCUACUCCCUGAAAUUUGAAGAUUCCCAGCAAUAAACUUGGCUUCCAAUUCAUGUUGAGCUCAAAAUCCAUACCAGGUUUCUAUGUCACAAUGUAAUUGAGGCCCCAGGCAGGAGAUACGAAAUCUAUUUCUGGUUUUCUUAAUUUCCACUCAUGGGGACAAGGAAUGGGGCAAGAGAAUCAAGGAAUAUUGGACAGCAGGACACGGGAGAAGUAGAGUUUUCUUCUGGGACACUUUUCCGGCCUGUUUUCUUUUUUUUUUUUGGUCCAGCAUCGAAUUUUCUUUUCACAACCCCCACCAUGAUGGUCACUACAAUCAAUGUCUGUCACCACCAUCACUUGGAGAAUCGAGACCCAUGAGACUACUUUGGGCAUUCUGAAAAGAAAGGAGAAUUCCUUCUAAGGAGACAGUAUCUUCUCUCCUUCUUUCAGUAUUUCAUAAUAUACUGUAGUUCAUACACUUACAUUUUAACCAAGAAAAAUAUCAUCCUGGGAUUCAACCUUCAAAUGCUGUGAAGUUUUCCAAGGGAGUACCUGGAUUGUUGUAGAUCCUAAACACUUUAUGUGAGUGCACCAAAAAGAUUUCCAGAAUUUCUUAAUAAGCUAAACAUACAACUGCUAUAUGAUCCAACCAUUCUGCUCCAAAGUAUUCACCCAAGAGAAAUGAAAGCAAAUGUUCACACAAAGGCUUAUACCUGAAUGUUCACAGCAUCUUUAAUAGUUGCCAAAUAGGAAAUAACCUAAAUGGGUCAAUGGGUAAACAUAUGGUGGUAUAUCCACACAAUAGAAUAUUAAUUGGUAAUAAAAAGGAACAAAUUAUCUAUGCACAGAACAACAUGAAUGAAUCUCAACAUGAGCAAAAAGCCAUAUCAUGCAAUGCUAUGCAUUCUGUAUUCCACUUAUAUAAAAGUCUAGGAAAUCCAACACUAAUCUACAGUGAGAGAAGGCAGAUCAGUGGUUGCUUGGAGAUUGCUGAAGCUCACAGAGGAGCACAAGGAAACUUUUCAGAUGGUAGAUUUAUUCAUCAUCUUGACUAUGGUGAUGGUUUUACAGGUGUCAGUAUUGUCAAAUUUUUCAUUUAAAUAUGUACAGUUUAUUAGUUGUCAAUUGCACUUCAACAAAGCUGUAUUUAAAAAAAUAAUAAUAAAAUGACUGCCACUCUU